GCCCUAGUAGUCUAGUGGUUAGGAUACAGCCCUGUCAAGGCUGUGGCGCGAGUCCGAUUCUCGCCUGGGGCG
RNAcentral lists this transfer RNA (72 nucleotides) under Nanobdellota archaeon. Its description in RNAcentral is "tRNA-Asp". It matches the Rfam family "tRNA". Rfam says of the family: Transfer RNA (tRNA) molecules are approximately 80 nucleotides in length. Their secondary structure includes four short double-helical elements and three loops (D, anti-codon, and T loops). The record is from RNAcentral. Lineage: Archaea; Nanobdellati; Nanobdellota.